CAGUCAUAUGAGAUUGAAACACCGGUUCUCGUACGAACACCAAAGUUAAGUAACGUCGGGCCUGGUCAGCACUUAGAGGGGUGACCGACUUAGAAUACCAGGAAUUGUAAU
Non-coding RNA from Acanthosepion pharaonis, 111 nucleotides. NCBI's taxonomy places the organism in Eukaryota, Metazoa, Mollusca, Cephalopoda, Sepiida, Sepiidae. The record is from the annotation of a GenBank genome assembly.